This 492-nucleotide ribosomal RNA is filed under the name uncultured bacterium. Its description in RNAcentral is "partial 16S ribosomal RNA". It matches the Rfam family "Bacterial small subunit ribosomal RNA", at positions 29 to 523 of the family's 1533-position model. The record is from RNAcentral.
AUUGAACGCUGGCGGCAGGCUUAACACAUGCAAGUCGAGCGGUAACAGGCCUUCGGGUGCUGACGAGCGGCGGACGGGUGAGUAACGCGUAGGAACCUGCCUGAUAGUGGGGGAUAGCCCGGCGAAAGCCGGAUUAAUACCGCAUACGCUCUACGGAGGAAAGGGGGCUGCGGCUCCCGCUAUCAGAUGGGCCUGCGUAGGAUUAGCUAGUUGGUAGGGUAAGGGCCUACCAAGGCGACGAUCCUUAGCUGGUCUGAGAGGAUGAUCAGCCACACUGGGACUGAGACACGGCCCAGACUCCUACGGGAGGCAGCAGUGGGGAAUAUUGGACAAUGGGGGAAACCCUGAUCCAGCCAUGCCGCGUGUGUGAAGAAGGCCUUCGGGUUGUAAAGCACUUUCAGUGGGGAGGAAGGCUUGGUGGUUAAUACCCAUCAGGAUUGACGUUACCCACAGAAGAAGCACCGGCUAACUCCGUGCCAGCCGCCGCCGUAA